Molecule: ribosomal RNA, 810 nt
Filed under: uncultured bacterium
Lineage: Bacteria
Description: bacterial SSU rRNA
Rfam family: Bacterial small subunit ribosomal RNA
Source: RNAcentral
AGAUAUUACGAAGAACAUCAGUGGCGAAGGCGGCCGGCUGGGUCAGUAUUGACGCUCAGGCACGAGAGCGUGGGGAGCGAACAGGAUUAGAUACCCUGGUAGUCCACGCUGUAAACGAUGUAUGCUAGUUGUUGGGCUUUCGGGCUCAGUGACGCAGUUAACGCAGUAAGCAUACCACCUGGGGAGUACGUUCGCAAGAAUGAAACUCAAAGGAAUUGACGGGGGCCCGCACAAGCGGUGGAGCAUGUGGCUUAAUUCGAUGCAACGCGAAGAACCUUACCCGGGCUAAAUCCGACCUGCUACCUCCCGAAACGGAGGGUCCCUUCGGGGCGGGUUGGAAGGUGCUGCAUGGCUGUCGUCAGCUCGUGCCGUGAGGUGUUGCCUUAAGUGGCGCAACGAGCGCAACCCCUGUGGUCAGUUACCAGCACGUAAUGGUGGGGACUCUGGCCAGACUGCCUACGCAAGUAGUGAGGAAGGUGGGGACGACGUCAAGUCAUCAUGGCCCUUAUGUCCGGGGCUGCACACGUGCUACAAUGGAUGGUACAGAGGGAAGCUACCCAGCGAUGGGAUGCAGAUCUCGAAAGCCAUUCUCAGUUCGGAUUGGAGUCUGCAACUCGACUCCAUGAAGGUGGAAUCGCUAGUAAUCGCGUAUCAGCAACGACGCGGUGAAUACGUUCCCGGGCCUUGUACACACCGCCCGUCAAGCGAUGGAAGUCAGGAGUACCUGAUGUCGCCGUGCUAACCUUCGGGAAGCAGGUGCCUAGGGUAAGCCUGGUAACUGGCGCUAAGUCGUAACAAGGUAGCCGUAGA